UGAUAGUUACAGCUACAAUAUACAUAAUAAAAUACCACACUUGAGUGAAAAUACUGCGCAGAUUACCUUUAAUACUGCACUAAGCAUAGUACGAAUCGAGUGAGAACGAUACGAGAAAAAAAACUACACAGAAGGUGACCCAUCUGGGACCUAUAUUGUAACGAUUGCACGGUUUAAUAUCAUGUAUACUAAAGUAUCUAAUUUAACGACUCACUGCGCCAUGUCGACCUACCUAUACAAACGGAAUUUUGUUCGAAAAUCCGUACACCUCGAUUCUCUUACACGUCGUCUCGCAGAAGUUCGCGCGUCUUAGCGAAGACCUCCUUGUAGACGGCGACACCAUUGCAAAAAUCAUACAUUUCGAAGCUACUAUGCUUAAUUGUUUUUGUAGAAAUAUGGCAUGAAGUCGCCGUUGGUUGAGGAACUCGUGAAUGGCAAUGGUCAGUAUCAUCUACAGACACGACGACCAGUGUGACAUAAUAAUAUUAUGAUGUUAGGUAUAUUAUAAUGUCCUGUCGACCCUAGGAAGAGGAGUUCGCCGACGACUAGGUAAACGCUCUGAUUAUAUUUCGUUUUAUGGUAUUCGUAUUAUUUAGUUAUGUUCGACACAUGUUUUCGUUUUUUAUCAGAUAACUAUAACGUUUUAGACAGCGUUUUUGAAAAUUAUAAACAUUUAAAGAAUAUUACCAUUUUUUAAAUGUUAUUUAACCAUGUAGUGUAAUAUACUAUAACUACAUAAACAUUGUUUAGUGUCCGCGAGUUAUGAAGUAUUAAAAAAAAAAAUACUUAUAGUAACUUUUAGUAUUUGCCAACUCAAUUAAAUAUUGCCACUGGCUAUUUAAAAUUGAUUUUUUAUUUAUUUAUUAUUCUUAAGAAUAUUUUGACUUGAUAAGUGAUUUAAAUUUUUUUAAUCAGUUUGCUAAACAAAGCUGUUAAAAUUAAUUGUAUUUGUUAUCUUUUAGAAUGACAACAAAGUUGAUAAAUAGUUUCUAAUUAAGAUAACCACAAUACUAUGUGUAACUAAAAAUAUAAUGUAAGUUGUUGUUUAUAAAUCAAUAUAAUAUAUAAACUUGUCAUAAUAUUUUGUCAGUUGAUAUGUUCACAAAUUUUAAAAAAUAAAACAAUAUUGAUUGUUUACUUCAAAUAAAUAUACCACAAUAUUGCCAUAUU
Metopolophium dirhodum (rose-grain aphid) is the source of this 1170-nucleotide long non-coding RNA. RefSeq lists it as uncharacterized. The transcript is spliced from 3 exons. Lineage: Eukaryota; Metazoa; Arthropoda; Insecta; Hemiptera; Aphididae. The record is from RefSeq and is a predicted model, not a curated record.